MicroRNA precursor from Arabidopsis lyrata subsp. lyrata, 187 nucleotides. The record is from Rfam. Lineage: Eukaryota; Viridiplantae; Streptophyta; Magnoliopsida; Brassicales; Brassicaceae.
AUGAAAAGAGUAUGUCAAGAUAGCCAAGGAGACUGCCUGAAACCUAACCCGCAAGAUUCAACUUGAUUUUCGAAUUAUUACACCUUUUAGAUGCAUAAUAAUCCAAAACCCAUGAAAUUCAAAUUGAAUCAUGGAGGUGAAAAAGAUCAGGCAAGUCAUCCUUGGCUAUUAAACAUGACUCUUUUCG